AGAGUUUGAUCAUGGCUCAGGAUGAACGCUAGCUACAGGCUUAACACAUGCAAGUCGAGGGGAAACGACAUCGAAAGCUUGCUUUUGAUGGGCGUCGACCGGCGCACGGGUGAGUAACGCGUAUCCAACCUGCCCACCACUUGGGGAUAACCUUGCGAAAGUAAGACUAAUACCCAAUGAUAUCUCUAGAAGACAUCUGAAAGAGAUUAAAGAUUUAUCGGUGAUGGAUGGGGAUGCGUCUGAUUAGCUUGUUGGGCGGGGUAACGGCCCACCAAGGCGACGAUCAGGUAGGGGUUCUGAGAGGGAAGGUCCCCCACAUUGGAACUGGAGACACGGUCCAAACUCCCGUACGGGAGGCA
Molecule: ribosomal RNA, 359 nt
Filed under: uncultured bacterium
Lineage: Bacteria
Description: bacterial SSU rRNA
Rfam family: Bacterial small subunit ribosomal RNA
Source: RNAcentral